This 258-nucleotide ribosomal RNA is filed under the name uncultured bacterium. RNAcentral describes it as "partial 16S ribosomal RNA". It matches the Rfam family "Bacterial small subunit ribosomal RNA", at positions 57 to 305 of the family's 1533-position model. The record is from RNAcentral.
GCAAGUCGAACGAGAAAGUUUCCUUCGGGAGAUGAUUAAAGUGGCGCACGGGUGAGUAACGCGUGGGUAAUCUACCCUUAAAUCAGGAAUAACCAGCCGAAAGGCUGGCUAAUACCGGGUAUUGUUGUAAAACUUUCGAGUUUAACAACGAAAGGUGGCGCAAGCUACCGUUUGAGGAUGAGCCCGCGUCCCAUUAGCUUGUUGGUGGGGUAAUGGCCUACCAAGGCAACGAUGGGUAGCUGGUCUGAGAGGAUGAUC